UACGUAGGGGGCAAGCGUUGUCCGGAAUCAUUGGGCGUAAAGCGCGCGUAGGCGGCCCUGUAAGUCCGCUGUGAAAGUCAAAGGCUCAACCUUUGAAAGCCGAUGGAUACUGCAGGGCUAGAGUCCGGAAGAGGCGAGUGGAAUUCCUGGUGUAGCGGUGGAAUGCGCAGAUAUCAGGAGGAACACCAAUAGCGAAGGCAGCUCGCUGGGACGGUACUGACGCUAAGGCGCGAAAGCGUGGGGAGCGAACAGG
This 253-nucleotide ribosomal RNA is filed under the name uncultured bacterium. RNAcentral's name for it is "partial 16S ribosomal RNA". It matches the Rfam family "Bacterial small subunit ribosomal RNA", at positions 524 to 776 of the family's 1533-position model. The record is from RNAcentral.